GACGAACGCUGGCGGCGUGCUUAACACAUGCAAGUCGAACGGAAAGGCCCUGCUUUUGUGGGGUGCUCGAGUGGCGAACGGGUGAGUAACACGUGAGUAACCUGCCCUUGACUUUGGGAUAACUUCAGGAAACUGGGGCUAAUACCGGAUAGGAGCUCCUGCUGCAUGGUGGGGGUUGGAAAGUUUCGGCGGUUGGGGAUGGACUCGCGGCUUAUCAGCUUGUUGGUGGGGUAGUGGUUUACCAAGGCUUUGACGGGUAGCCGGCCUGAGAGGGUGACCGGCCACAUUGGGACUGAGAUACGGCCCAGACUCCUACGGGAGGCAGCAGUGGGGAAUAUUGCACAAUGGGCGGAAGCCUGAUGCAGCAACGCCGCGUGCGGGAUGACGGCCUUCGGGUUGUAAACCGCCUUCGCCUGUGACGAAGCGUGAGUGACGGUAAUGGGUAAAGAAGCACCGGCUAACUACGUG
RNAcentral lists this ribosomal RNA (468 nucleotides) under uncultured bacterium. Its description in RNAcentral is "partial 16S ribosomal RNA". It matches the Rfam family "Bacterial small subunit ribosomal RNA", at positions 28 to 507 of the family's 1533-position model. The record is from RNAcentral.